GGGAACUUGGGUUGGAAGGACCUAAACAUAACGGGUUGUGCCACCAUUAGCAGCAACCAAAUGCUCCAGAUAAGUCUUUCACAUCACUGUGGAGAAUUUCACCCACUCUUCUUUGCAGAAUUGCUUCAGUUUAGUCACGUUUGAGGGACACGUUGUGUUUACUUAAGUUGUCUUGUAUUAAAUUUUGUUUGAAGAUCUGAAACAAUUAACUGUGAUAAAUACAGAAGAAAUCAAACAUACACUACCGGUCAAAAGUUUGGGGUCACUUUGAGAUUCCCUUGGUUUUGAAAGAAAAGCUUUUUUUUUUUUUCAAUUAGAAUAACAUUAAAUUGAUUACAAAUACAGUCUAGACAUUGUUACUGUUGUAAAUAACUAUUAUAGCUGGAAACUGAUGAUUUUUUUCAUGGAACAUCUACAUAGGCGUAAAAAGGGUUAUUUUCAGCAACCAUCAUUCCUGUGUUCCAAUAGCACAUUGUGAAAACUAAUCUAGGUGAAUAAUGUUAAACCUUUUUGCAAUUAUGUUAGUGCAGCUGUUAAUCAUUGUGCUGAUUAAUGAUGCAAUAAAAGUGGCCUUCUUUAAGCUAGUUGAGUAUCUGGAGCAUCAGCAUCUGUGGGUUUGAAUACAGACUCAAAGUGGACAGUAAAAAACUAGUCUCUUUUGAAACUUAUCAGUCAAGGGACGACUCCAGGAUGCUGGCCUUCUAGGCAGAGUUGCAAAGAAAUGGUCAUAAUUGAAACUGGCCAGUAAAAGAACACUGGACAGAGGCAGAUUGGAAAAAUCAUUAUUUCCAACCUUGCCCAUGUCUGGAAUACAUUUAUUUACGUUACAGUUCAUUUGAGGACUAAAAGUGUGAGUUUUCAAGGAAAAUUAUAUACAGCUAUAACAUUAAAACCAUCUGCCUAAUAUUGUUUAGGUUCCCCUUGUGCUGCCAACACAGCUCUGACUUGUCGAGGCAUGGACUCCACAAGGUCUCUGAAAGGGAGCUGUGAUAUCUGGCACCAAGACAUUAGCAGUAGAUACUUUAAGUCCUUUAAGGACUUGUUUGUCCAGCAUACCCCACAGAUGCUCAAUCAGACCGAGAUCUGGGGAAUUUGUAGGCCAAUCAACACCUUGAACUCUUUGUCAUGGUUCCUCAAAGCAUUCUUGAACAAUUUUUGCAGUGUGGCAAGGAACAUUAUCCUGUUGAAAAAGGCCACUGCGAUUAGGGAACACUGUUGUCAUGAAGGGGUGUUCUUGGUCCUUAACAAUUUUUAGGUAGGUGGUACGUGUCAAAGCAACAACCACAUGAAUGGCAGGACCUAAGGUUUCUCAGCAGAACAUUGCCCAGAGCAUCACACUUCCUCCACUGGUUUGCCUGCUUAUCAUACUCGUGCAUCCUGGUGCCAUCUCUUCCCCAGGUAAGCGACACAUGCACCCGGCCUUCCACAUGAUGUAAAAGAAAACCUGAGACCAGGUCACCUUCAUCCAUUGCUCCAUAGUCCAG
Ictalurus punctatus (channel catfish) is the source of this 1484-nucleotide long non-coding RNA. The record is from Ensembl. Lineage: Eukaryota; Metazoa; Chordata; Actinopteri; Siluriformes; Ictaluridae.